This 380-nucleotide ribosomal RNA is filed under the name uncultured eukaryote. Its description in RNAcentral is "partial 18S ribosomal RNA". It matches the Rfam family "Eukaryotic small subunit ribosomal RNA", at positions 592 to 976 of the family's 1831-position model. The record is from RNAcentral.
CAAUAGCGUAUAUUAAAGUUGUUGCAGUUAAAACGCUCGUAGUCGGAUUUCGGGGCGGGCCUGCCGGUUUGCCGAUGGGUAUAUACUGGUGGGUGCGUCCUUCCUUCCGGAGACCGCGCCUCCUCUUAACUGAGCGGGCGUGGGAGACGGAUCGUUUACUUUGAAAAAAUCAGAGUGUUUCAAGCAGGCAUUUCGCUUUUGCAUGGAUUAGCAUGGGAUAAUGAAAUAGGACUUUGGUGCUAUUUUGUUGGUUUCGAGCACCGAAGUAAUGAUUAACAGGGACAGUCAGGGGCACUCGUAUUCCGCAGAGAGAGGUGAAAUUCUCAGACCCGCGGAAGACGAACCACUGCGAAAGCAUUUGCCAGGGAUGUUUUCACUGA